UCAGUAACCUAUGACUCAAGCUGAUCACAGACUCAAAUAUAAUGUACCUUGUGGAUGAGCAAGAAGUAAAAAUAGUGUAAGCAUUUCAUCUUGGCCGGGAAAUAGAUAUGAAUGUUCAUGGAAGAAUGAACAAAGGAAGAGGCUUGCAGGUUGGGUCAAUUAAUUCUCUCUCUGGAAUUUUGAACUGAGAUUCACAGAGAAGCUGUUGUGAAGGAGCCAUGGAUAGCUGGAGGCUCUACCAUGACGUCUUCCAGGGUCUUCCUAGUUAAAGCCUGGACUGAAAACAAGUAAGAAGCACUUUUUGGGUUCGUUCAGUUUUGAGGUAACAAUAAACUCAUCUUCAGACUGCCUGUGACCUUUUCAUAAUGACACCAGAAAUAUGAAUAGGACAUAUUUUAAAACUAGCUUAUC
This 411-nucleotide long non-coding RNA is filed under the name Homo sapiens (human). RNAcentral's name for it is "HSALNT0211196". Lineage: Eukaryota; Metazoa; Chordata; Mammalia; Primates; Hominidae. The record is from RNAcentral.